This 434-nucleotide ribosomal RNA is filed under the name uncultured bacterium. Its description in RNAcentral is "bacterial SSU rRNA". It matches the Rfam family "Bacterial small subunit ribosomal RNA", at positions 957 to 1391 of the family's 1533-position model. The record is from RNAcentral.
GAACGCGAAGAACCUUACCCGGGCUUGAAUUGCAGACGAACGAUUCAGAGAUGAUGAGGCCCUUCGGGGCGUCUGUGAAGGUGCUGCAUGGUUGUCGUCAGCUCGUGCCGUGAGGUGUCGGCUUAAGUGCCAUAACGAGCGCAACCCCUUUUUUCAGUUGCCAUCAGGUGAUGCUGGGCACUCUGGAGAUACUGCCACCGUAAGGUGUGAGGAAGGUGGGGAUGACGUCAAAUCAGCACGGCCCUUACGUCCGGGGCUACACACGUGUUACAAUGGCCGGUACAGAGAGUUGGUUGUGUGCAAAUACGAUCUAAUCCUUAAAGCCGGUCCCAGUUCGGACUGGGGUCUGCAACCCGACCCCACGAAGCUGGAUUCGCUAGUAAUCGCGCAUCAGCCAUGGCGCGGUGAAUACGUUCCCGGGUCUUGUACACACC